This 2282-nucleotide ribosomal RNA is filed under the name Escherichia coli. Its description in RNAcentral is "partial 23S ribosomal RNA". It matches the Rfam family "Bacterial large subunit ribosomal RNA", at positions 683 to 2925 of the family's 2925-position model. The record is from RNAcentral. Lineage: Bacteria; Pseudomonadati; Pseudomonadota; Gammaproteobacteria; Enterobacterales; Enterobacteriaceae.
CUUAACUGGGCGUUAAGUUGCAGGGUAUAGACCCGAAACCCGGUGAUCUAGCCAUGGGCAGGUUGAAGGUUGGGUAACACUAACUGGAGGACCGAACCGACUAAUGUUGAAAAAUUAGCGGAUGACUUGUGGCUGGGGGUGAAAGGCCAAUCAAACCGGGAGAUAGCUGGUUCUCCCCGAAAGCUAUUUAGGUAGCGCCUCGUGAAUUCAUCUCCGGGGGUAGAGCACUGUUUCGGCAAGGGGGUCAUCCCGACUUACCAACCCGAUGCAAACUGCGAAUACCGGAGAAUGUUAUCACGGGAGACACACGGCGGGUGCUAACGUCCGUCGUGAAGAGGGAAACAACCCAGACCGCCAGCUAAGGUCCCAAAGUCAUGGUUAAGUGGGAAACGAUGUGGGAAGGCCCAGACAGCCAGGAUGUUGGCUUAGAAGCAGCCAUCAUUUAAAGAAAGCGUAAUAGCUCACUGGUCGAGUCGGCCUGCGCGGAAGAUGUAACGGGGCUAAACCAUGCACCGAAGCUGCGGCAGCGACACUGUGUGUUGUUGGGUAGGGGAGCGUUCUGUAAGCCUGUGAAGGUGUGCUGUGAGGCAUGCUGGAGGUAUCAGAAGUGCGAAUGCUGACAUAAGUAACGAUAAAGCGGGUGAAAAGCCCGCUCGCCGGAAGACCAAGGGUUCCUGUCCAACGUUAAUCGGGGCAGGGUGAGUCGACCCCUAAGGCGAGGCCGAAAGGCGUAGUCGAUGGGAAACAGGUUAAUAUUCCUGUACUUGGUGUUACUGCGAAGGGGGGACGGAGAAGGCUAUGUUGGCCGGGCGACGGUUGUCCCGGUUUAAGCGUGUAGGCUGGUUUUCCAGGCAAAUCCGGAAAAUCAAGGCUGAGGCGUGAUGACGAGGCACUACGGUGCUGAAGCAACAAAUGCCCUGCUUCCAGGAAAAGCCUCUAAGCAUCAGGUAACAUCAAAUCGUACCCCAAACCGACACAGGUGGUCAGGUAGAGAAUACCAAGGCGCUUGAGAGAACUCGGGUGAAGGAACUAGGCAAAAUGGUGCCGUAACUUCGGGAGAAGGCACGCUGAUAUGUAGGUGAAGUCCCUCGCGGAUGGAGCUGAAAUCAGUCGAAGAUACCAGCUGGCUGCAACUGUUUAUUAAAAACACAGCACUGUGCAAACACGAAAGUGGACGUAUACGGUGUGACGCCUGCCCGGUGCCGGAAGGUUAAUUGAUGGGGUCAGCGCAAGCGAAGCUCUUGAUCGAAGCCCCGGUAAACGGCGGCCGUAACUAUAACGGUCCUAAGGUAGCGAAAUUCCUUGUCGGGUAAGUUCCGACCUGCACGAAUGGCGUAAUGAUGGCCAGGCUGUCUCCACCCGAGACUCAGUGAAAUUGAACUCGCUGUGAAGAUGCAGUGUACCCGCGGCAAGACGGAAAGACCCCGUGAACCUUUACUAUAGCUUGACACUGAACAUUGAGCCUUGAUGUGUAGGAUAGGUGGGAGGCUUUGAAGUGUGGACGCCAGUCUGCAUGGAGCCGACCUUGAAAUACCACCCUUUAAUGUUUGAUGUUCUAACGUGGACCCGUGAUCCGGGUUGCGGACAGUGUCUGGUGGGUAGUUUGACUGGGGCGGUCUCCUCCUAAAGAGUAACGGAGGAGCACGAAGGUUGGCUAAUCCUGGUCGGACAUCAGGAGGUUAGUGCAAUGGCAUAAGCCAGCUUGACUGCGAGCGUGACGGCGCGAGCAGGUGCGAAAGCAGGUCAUAGUGAUCCGGUGGUUCUGAAUGGAAGGGCCAUCGCUCAACGGAUAAAAGGUACUCCGGGGAUAACAGGCUGAUACCGCCCAAGAGUUCAUAUCGACGGCGGUGUUUGGCACCUCGAUGUCGGCUCAUCACAUCCUGGGGCUGAAGUAGGUCCCAAGGGUAUGGCUGUUCGCCAUUUAAAGUGGUACGCGAGCUGGGUUUAGAACGUCGUGAGACAGUUCGGUCCCUAUCUGCCGUGGGCGCUGGAGAACUGAGGGGGGCUGCUCCUAGUACGAGAGGACCGGAGUGGACGCAUCACUGGUGUUCGGGUUGUCAUGCCAAUGGCACUGCCCGGUAGCUAAAUGCGGAAGAGAUAAGUGCUGAAAGCAUCUAAGCACGAAACUUGCCCCGAGAUGAGUUCUCCCUGACCCUUUAAGGGUCCUGAAGGAACGUUGAAGACGACGACGUUGAUAGGCCGGGUGUGUAAGCGCAGCGAUGCGUUGAGCUAACCGGUACUAAUGAACCGUGAGGCUUAACCUUACAACGCCGAAGGUGUUU